GAAAUGCGAUAAGUAAUGUGAAUUGCAGAAUUCAGUGAACCAUCGAGUCUUUGAACGCACAUUGCGCCCCUUGGUAUUCCGAGGGGCACGCCUGUCCGAGCGUCGUUCCAACCCCUCAAGCCCAGCUUGGUAUUGAGCCGCGCCCCGAGUGGGCGGGCUCGGAAGCCGUUGGCGGCACGGUGCCCCCGAGAAGCGUGAUGCACUCACCGACUCGGGCGGGCGCCCACCGACCUCAAACCCACACCCAUGAAGUCGACCUCGGAUCAGGCGGGGAUACCCGCUGAACUUAA
Molecule: unclassified non-coding RNA, 290 nt
Filed under: uncultured fungus
Lineage: Eukaryota; Fungi
Description: sequence contains ITS1
Rfam family: 5.8S ribosomal RNA (bases 1-105)
Source: RNAcentral